This 928-nucleotide ribosomal RNA is filed under the name Staphylococcus hominis. RNAcentral describes it as "bacterial LSU rRNA". The record is from RNAcentral. Lineage: Bacteria; Bacillati; Bacillota; Bacilli; Caryophanales; Staphylococcaceae.
ACGAUUUGGGCACUGUCUCAACGAGAGACUCGGUGAAAUCAUAGUACCUGUGAAGAUGCAGGUUACCCGCGACAGGACGGAAAGACCCCGYGGAGCUUUACUGUAGCCUGAUAUUGAAAUUCGGCACAGCUUGUACAGGAUAGGUAGGAGCCUUUGAAACGUGAGCGCUAGCUUACGUGGAGGCGUUGGUGGGAUACUACCCUAGCUGUGUUGGCUUUCUAACCCGCACCACUUAUCGUGGUGGGAGACAGUGUCAGGCGGGCAGUUUGACUGGGGCGGUCGCCUCCUAAAAGGUAACGGAGGCGCUCAAAGGUUCCCUCAGAAUGGUUGGAAAUCAUUCAUAGAGUGUAAAGGCAUAAGGGAGCUUGACUGCGAGACCUACAAGUCGAGCAGGGUCGAAAGACGGACUUAGUGAUCCGGUGGUUCCGCAUGGAAGGGCCAUCGCUCAACGGAUAAAAGCUACCCCGGGGAUAACAGGCUUAUCUCCCCCAAGAGUUCACAUCGACGGGGAGGUUUGGCACCUCGAUGUCGGCUCAUCGCAUCCUGGGGCUGUAGUCGGUCCCAAGGGUUGGGCUGUUCGCCCAUUAAAGCGGUACGCGAGCUGGGUUCAGAACGUCGUGAGACAGUUCGGUCCCUAUCCGUCGUGGGCGUAGGAAAUUUGAGAGGAGCUGUCCUUAGUACGAGAGGACCGGGAUGGACAUACCUCUGGUGUACCAGUUGUCGUGCCAACGGCAUAGCUGGGUAGCUAUGUAUGGACGGGAUAAGUGCUGAAAGCAUCUAAGCAUGAAGCCCCCCUCAAGAUGAGAUUUCCCAACUUCGGUUAUAAGAUCCCUCAGAGAUGAUGAGGUUAAUAGGUUCGAGGUGGAAGCGUGGUGACACGUGGAGCUGACGAAUACUAAUCGAUCGAAGACUUAAUCAAUUUUUUCAA